Molecule: ribosomal RNA, 253 nt
Filed under: uncultured bacterium
Lineage: Bacteria
Description: partial 16S ribosomal RNA
Rfam family: Bacterial small subunit ribosomal RNA
Source: RNAcentral
UACGUAGGGUGCAAGCGUUGUCCGGAAUUAUUGGGCGUAAAGCGCACGUAGGCGGCGCCGUAAGUCAGGGGUGAAAUCCCGGAGCUCAACUCCGGAACUGCCCUUGAAACUGCAGUGCUAGAAUCCUGGAGAGGCGAGUGGAAUUCCGAGUGUAGAGGUGAAAUUCGUAGAUAUUCGGAAGAACACCAGUGGCGAAGGCGACUCGCUGGACAGGUAUUGACGCUGAGGUGCGAAAGCGUGGGGAGCAAACAGG